CCUACGGGAGGCAGCAGUGAGGAAUAUUGGUCAAUGGCCGGAAGGCUGAACCAGCCAAGUCGCGUGAAGGAAGACGGCCCUACGGGUUGUAAACCUCUUUUGUCAGGGAGCAAGAUGCAGGUCGGGACCUGCUGUGAGAAUACCUGAAGAAAAAGCAUCGGCUCACUCCGUGCCAGCAGCCGCGGUAAUACGUAGGAUGCGAGCGUUAUCCGGAUUUAUUGGGUUUAUUGGGUGCGCAGGCGGAGGCACAAGUCAGCGGUAAAAUCGCGGGGUUCAACCCCGCUCCGCCGUUGAAACUGUGGCCCUUGAGUGCGCGCAGGGUAGGCGGAAUGCGUGGUGUAGCGGUGAAAUGCAUAGAUAUCACGCAGAACUCCGAUCGCGAAGGCAGCCUACCGGCGCGCAACUGACGCUGAGGCACGAAAGCGUGGGUAUCGAACAGGAUUAGAUACCCCUGUAGUC
This 459-nucleotide ribosomal RNA is filed under the name uncultured bacterium. Its description in RNAcentral is "partial 16S ribosomal RNA". It matches the Rfam family "Bacterial small subunit ribosomal RNA", at positions 338 to 795 of the family's 1533-position model. The record is from RNAcentral.